This 156-nucleotide ribosomal RNA is filed under the name Wilsonomyces carpophilus. RNAcentral's name for it is "5.8S ribosomal RNA". It matches the Rfam family "5.8S ribosomal RNA". From Rfam's summary of the family: 5.8S ribosomal RNA (5.8S rRNA) is a component of the large subunit of the eukaryotic ribosome. RNAcentral also lists the same sequence under 2 other names. The record is from RNAcentral. Lineage: Eukaryota; Fungi; Ascomycota; Dothideomycetes.
AACUUUCAACAACGGAUCUCUUGGUUCUGGCAUCGAUGAAGAACGCAGCGAAAUGCGAUAAGUAGUGUGAAUUGCAGAAUUCAGUGAAUCAUCGAAUCUUUGAACGCACAUUGCACCUCUCGGUAUUCCGGGAGGUAUGCCUGUUCGAGCGUCAUU